UACGGGGGGUGCGAGCGUUGUCCGGAAUCACUGGGCGUAAAGCGCGUGUAGGCGGCCCGGUAAGUCCGCUGUGAAAGUCGGGGGCUCAACCCUCGAAUGCUGGUGGAUACUGUCGGGCUAGAGUGCGGGAGAGGCGAGUGGAAUUCCUGGUGUAGCGGUGAAAUGCGUAGAGAUCCGGAGGAACACCGACGGCGCAGGCAGCGUCCUGGCCGCUUGCUGACACUGAGGCACGAAAGCUGGGGGAGCAAACAGG
Molecule: ribosomal RNA, 253 nt
Filed under: uncultured bacterium
Lineage: Bacteria
Description: partial 16S ribosomal RNA
Rfam family: Bacterial small subunit ribosomal RNA
Source: RNAcentral